UUAUGGCCAUAUCUCGUUCAAAUCCUGAAGCCCAUACGAUCACCGAAGUCAAGCAACGCCGAGCCUGAUCAGUGCCUGAAUGUAUGACCGCUUGGGAAUACCAGGUGCUAUAA
Non-coding RNA from Acanthosepion pharaonis, 113 nucleotides. Lineage: Eukaryota; Metazoa; Mollusca; Cephalopoda; Sepiida; Sepiidae. The record is from the annotation of a GenBank genome assembly.